GCUCUGGUCGUCUAGUUCGGUCAAGGACACAGGCCUCUCAAGUCUGUAACUCGGGUUCAAAUGCAGGCAAAAACC
This 75-nucleotide transfer RNA is filed under the name Candidatus Micrarchaeota archaeon CG1_02_51_15. RNAcentral's name for it is "tRNA-Glu". The record is from RNAcentral. Lineage: Archaea; Nanobdellati; Microcaldota.